UAAGAAAAGAAGUCUGCAAUUUACAGCUAAUUCUAUGAUGAAAGUUGAAAGAUUAGAUAUUCUUAAUUCGGUGAUCUGUUACAAUUAAACUAUUUGUUAUCUAAUCUACGGCUCCUAUACUCAUGAUGAAUGUUGGAUAACAAUUCACGAAUUUCCCACCAAGUUUCUAAACAAAUAUUUCGAUGCUUAGUUCAAGAAUUUGUCAACUGGAAUAUUUUUGAAGGAAAUUUUAGACUACUGCAUAUGGUGCUGCAGAUGACUCAUGAUUAUCCAUUCCGCGGAUUUUGUUGAAGAUAAUUAUGACAGAUAUCUUCAGUCUUUACUAUGCAAAGAUGUUGGUGAAAGUUAUUUGGAACAAAUUCUGGAUGUUGAAGAUUGAAAAAGAACAUUGCCUCUUCCUUGAUUGUUCUGCCCGUAGGAAAUGUGAUGUUAACCUAUUUUCUACUCUUGGGUGAUAUAUUUUUUAAAAAAUUGUUUUAAAUAUCUUGAAUGUCCUAAGAGUAGUUCAACCUGUAGAUUACGAUAUAAAUUAGAUACAAAAUGGAAACGAUUAACACCUGAAAACCGUUAUCUUGCCAUUCCCCCCCCCCAAGUAAUAAGGAUCUGCAUGUAACAUACUCAACAUAAUUUCAAUCCCAUUUUAAUCUGUUGAAACAAUACUUAAUGUGUGAAGCCUAUUGAUCGACAAUUUUAGGUAACCGAUUUUUGACAUCAUAGUUAAAUCGAAUAAUUUAAUGAGCUGUAUGUUUGUACUCCAAAACUGUAGACUUGUUUGUGGAUUUAGUGCACCACUUUAGAAUAUUGAGCUGUAAUUACAAUUCGAGGCACAUAUAAGGUGUAGUAAAUGAAAUCUUCCUCUUUAAGAGGAGAUAUGGGUUAGUGUUGAUUGCAGGUUUCAAUCCUGAAAUGAUCAAUGAGUACAGGGUUUCAUCCAGAUUUCCACAGCUGGGACCUCCUAUCUACAUUUGGAAGAAGGGUCUGCACUGAAACUUCAAAUAUCAAUACACGGUAUUUUAUUCUCAAUGAACAAAUACAACCAGACUAAGACAAACUUGUGGCGGAUUGUAAUGAGCGAGGAUAGAACCUGGCACCUUGUGGUUCGCAGCCGAGUAACAAGACCACAAGACAAAAGUAAUUACUCGUUUUUCGUACCUGUUAUCUGGCGUAUAAGCUUUCACCCCAAACUUCUCUUUUUGAAAACAAAGCUUUAUAUUUUUUAAAGGAACUAAAAUAGUGUAUUAAAAGAAAUUAGACAUAGUUAGCUAAUAUUUCAAUCUACGUAAAGUAGACUUUGGAGUAUUUCAUUUUCUGUUUUUAAUUUUAAAAGGCGUUUAGAAUGCAUCACAUAUUUUAAAUAUUAUAAAAUGUAUGCAAAUUACUUCAAGCAACUCUAAAUCACCACUCUCUCAAGACUCUGGAUUUACAGCCAAGUAAAUUUGAUCCUUAUAAGAGGUAUCAGUAAUUCCAUGCCUUUCCAUAUGUUUUACUGUUGAGUUUUAAAGAAACGCCAAGAUAAGGUCGUUCUGUUCGUAUGGCUAUUCAGCUUCCAUCAUGAAUAUUUAAUGUUAAAAUGACGUGCUACAGUCUUAAACUUUUAUUCGCCUACUAGUUAAGAACUUUGAAGAUUUCGUUUAAACUUCUUAAUCAUUUAGGAGACUAAGCAAAAAUUUAAAUAAAUCAGGAAAAUUUAGAGCAAUUUAUUUUUAAAUUAAUCAGACGCGCAGUCGCAUAUUAAUGUUAAAACUAAGUUGAUCGUUUCAUAGUUUGGAACAUUCGCUGUAGAUUAGGAAUACGAAAAUUUUAGUUACCAGAACAUUUUAAAAUCCAGGUUUCUUCCAUGUUCUG
Long non-coding RNA from Argiope bruennichi, 1845 nucleotides. RefSeq lists it as uncharacterized. The transcript is spliced from 3 exons. The record is from RefSeq and is a predicted model, not a curated record. NCBI's taxonomy places the organism in Eukaryota, Metazoa, Arthropoda, Arachnida, Araneae, Araneidae.